RNAcentral lists this ribosomal RNA (253 nucleotides) under uncultured bacterium. RNAcentral's name for it is "partial 16S ribosomal RNA". It matches the Rfam family "Bacterial small subunit ribosomal RNA", at positions 524 to 776 of the family's 1533-position model. The record is from RNAcentral.
UACGUAGGGUGCAAGCGUUGUCCGGAAUUAUUGGGCGUAAAGAGCUCGUAGGCGGUCUGUCGCGUCUGGUGUGAAAACUCAGGGCUUAACCCUGAGCUUGCAUCGGGUACGGGCAGACUAGAGUGCGGUAGGGGAGACUGGAAUUCCUGGUGUAGCGGUGAAAUGCGCAGAUAUCAGGAGGAACACCAAUAGCGAAGGCAGCUCGCUGGGACGUUACUGACACUGAGGCGCGAAAGCGUGGGGAGCGAACAGG